GGAAGUAAAGUCGUAACAAGGUCUCCGUAGGUGAACCUGCGGAGGGAUCAUUACAGAGUUCAUGCCCUACCGGGUAGAUCUCCCACCCUAUGUUAUUAUUACUUUGUUGCUUUGGCGGGCCGUUAGGCUCCGGCCCGACUACCGGCCCCGGCUGGUAAGCGCCCGCCAGAGGACCCAAAACCCCGAAUAUUAGUGUCGUCUGAGUACUAUAUAAUAGUUAAAACUUUCAACAACGGAUCUCUUGGUUCUG
This 250-nucleotide unclassified non-coding RNA is filed under the name plant metagenome. Its description in RNAcentral is "partial contains small subunit ribosomal RNA, internal transcribed spacer 1, and 5.8S ribosomal RNA". The stretch from base 1 to 53 matches the Rfam family "Eukaryotic small subunit ribosomal RNA", at positions 1778 to 1831 of the family's 1831-position model. The record is from RNAcentral.